Molecule: non-coding RNA, 322 nt
Organism: Labrus bergylta (ballan wrasse)
Lineage: Eukaryota; Metazoa; Chordata; Actinopteri; Labriformes; Labridae
Source: RefSeq, a predicted model, not a curated record
CAUUGAGUCUCCAUGAGGAGCAGUGGAUUGUUUGUCCUCCUCUGUCUUGAUCAGUCUCUUGUUGUCAGGAUGGAUCUGGGCCUCGCGAGGAGCCUUAUCUGGAGACACAGUGGGCUCAGGGGGGAUUGGAUUGUGAUUACAGAUCUCACCAAAAGGAGCUCCUAACUUUCACCCGGUGAAACUGGGAAGAGGCCACAAUGACUGCGUCAUCUUUAUACCGUCUGCAGACGUUUGUAGCUGCAGAGAUUACCAUGAAAACUCAGAAAUGUAACUUUUCUUAGUACGCAACCGAUCAUUCGAAACCUCCGAGCAUUUGAGCUUC